CGCGGUAAUACGGAAGGUCCGGGCGUUAUCCGGAUUUAUUGGGUUUAAAGGGAGCGUAGGCCGGAGAUUAAGCGUGUUGUGAAAUGUAGACGCUCAACGUCUGCACUGCAGCGCGAACUGGUUUCCUUGAGUACGCACAAAGUGGGCGGAAUUCGUGGUGUAGCGGUGAAAUGCUUAGAUAUCACGAAGAACUCCGAUUGCGAAGGCAGCUCACUGGAGCGCAACUGACGCUGAAGCUCGAAAGUGCGGGUAUCGAACAGGAUUAGAUACCCUGGUAGUCCGCACGGUAAACGAUGGAUGCCCGCUGUUGGUCUGAAUAGGUCAGCGGCCAAGCGAAAGCAUUAAGCAUCCCACCUGGGGAGUACGCCGGCAACGGUGCAACUCAAAUGAAUUGACGG
RNAcentral lists this ribosomal RNA (398 nucleotides) under uncultured Bacteroidota bacterium. RNAcentral's name for it is "bacterial SSU rRNA". It matches the Rfam family "Bacterial small subunit ribosomal RNA", at positions 516 to 916 of the family's 1533-position model. The record is from RNAcentral. Lineage: Bacteria; Pseudomonadati; Bacteroidota.